Long non-coding RNA from Salvia splendens (bonfire salvia), 873 nucleotides. RefSeq lists it as uncharacterized. Lineage: Eukaryota; Viridiplantae; Streptophyta; Magnoliopsida; Lamiales; Lamiaceae. The record is from RefSeq and is a predicted model, not a curated record. The transcript has 2 exons.
UGGCCCAAACAAAAAGUAAAGGCCCAAAACAUUUUAUUAUUUUCUUUUAUUUUUUUAAAACAAAACCCCAUUCUUUUAUCUCUCUUUAUCUUCUCCUUCUAUCUUCUUUCUCCCUCUAUAUCCGACGGAAAAAGCACGCCGCCUCCCAACCUCCCUGUCGGUUUCCUCCAAUUCGUCGGCUCCCCAUCGUCAUCGUCACGAUGCCGCUGCUGUCUCGCUAAGAAGUCGUGAAGCCGCCGCUGCCACACCGCGACACCACUGCCGCUGCCACUGGAAGAGAAGCUGCUGCCGUUGCCCGCCGGAGGGACUGCUGGUCGCCGGCCGCCGUCGCUGGAGUCGCCGGACAGCGUUGGGGUCGCCACCGCCACCGAGCCUUCGAGAACCGCCACCGUCCGCUUCGGUCAACCGCUGCCGGCAGUCUCCCCUUCCCCGAAACCACUCCGAACAACCCCGAUUCAACCCGCAACAUACGUUCUUAAUAUAAAGAAAGGCUUGGUGAUAGGAAAGGAUUAUACCUCCAAAAAUGGUUGAAUCAAUGGGGAAGCAAUCCCUUCUCCUCUCGGCUUCUCUCUCUCGGCCCUCCUCUUUUUUUUUCUUUUGUUGUGAUGUGUAAUGUGAGGAGUUUAGAGAUUAAAAGAGAAGUGGUGGAUGGCUCUUGGUUUGUAAGCAUUGAUGGUGGUAGAUAGAAGGUGAAGAAGUUGGAGAAGGUGAAAGGUGGAGAGUUUUUUUUGUAGGGAAAGCCGUCGCCUACUUGGAUAAGGAGAAGAAUAAACUUUGGGCUUGUUCCCAUUUACUUGGAAUUGUAUUGGACUCCAAUUGAAUUAAUUUAAUUGCAUGUUGUUGGGCUCAAGUUAUUGCAAGCCCAAGUUGGAA